ACACCGGCAGCCCAAGUGGUGGCCAUUUUUAUUGGGCCUAAAGCGUUCGUAGCCGGCCUGAUAAGUCUCUGGUGAAAUCCCGCAGCUUAACUGUGGGAAUUGCUGGAGAUACUAUCAGGCUUGAGGUCGGGAGAGGUUAGAGGUACUCCCAGGGUAGGGGUGAAAUCCUAUAAUCCUGGGAGGACCACCUGUGGCGAAGGCGUCUAACUGGAACGAACCUGACGGUGAGUAACGAAAGCCAGGGGCGCGAACCGGAUUAGAUACCCGGGUAGUCCUGGCCGUAAACGAUGUGGACUUGGUGUUGGGAUGGCUUCGAGCUGCCCCAGUGCCGAAGGGAAGCUGUUAAGUCCACCGCCUGGGAAGUACGGCCGCAAGGCUGAAACUUAAAGGAAUUGGCGGGG
RNAcentral lists this ribosomal RNA (401 nucleotides) under uncultured bacterium. RNAcentral's name for it is "partial 16S ribosomal RNA". It matches the Rfam family "Archaeal small subunit ribosomal RNA", at positions 473 to 873 of the family's 1478-position model. The record is from RNAcentral.